RNAcentral lists this ribosomal RNA (252 nucleotides) under uncultured bacterium. RNAcentral describes it as "partial 16S ribosomal RNA". It matches the Rfam family "Bacterial small subunit ribosomal RNA", at positions 525 to 776 of the family's 1533-position model. The record is from RNAcentral.
ACGGAGGGUGCAAGCGUUGUUCGGAAUCACUGGGCGUAAAGGGCGCGUAGGCGGCUUGGCAAGUCAGAUGUGAAAGCCCACGGCUUAACCGUGGAAGUGCAUUUGAAACUGCUUGGCUUGAGUAUCAGAGGGGAAAGUGGAAUUCCCGGUGUAGAGGUGAAAUUCGUAGAUAUCGGGAGGAAUACCGGUGGCGAAGGCGACUUUCUGGCUGAAUACUGACGCUGAGGCGCGAAAGCGUGGGGAGCAAACAGG